UAGGGAAUCUUCGGCAAUGGGGGGAACCCUGACCGAGCAACGCCGCGUGAGUGAAGAAGGUUUUCGGAUCGUAAAGCUCUGUUGUUAAGGAAGAACGAGUGUGAGAAUGGAAAGUUCAUGCUGUGACGGUACUCAACCAGAAAGGGACGGCUAACUACGUGCCAGCAGCCGCGGUAAUACGUAGGUCCCGAGCGUUGUCCGGAUUUAUUGGGCGUAAAGCGAGCGCAGGCGGUUAGAUAAGUCUGAAGUUAAAGGCAGUGGCUCAACCAUUGUAGGCUUUGGAAACUGUUUAACUUGAGUGCAGAAGGGGAGAGUGGAAUUCCAUGUGUAGCGGUGAAAUGCGUAGAUAUAUGGGGGAACACCGGUGGCGAAAGCGGCUCUCUGGUCUGUAACUGACGCUGAGGCUCGAAAGCGUGGGGAGCGAACAGG
Molecule: ribosomal RNA, 429 nt
Filed under: Bacteroidota bacterium
Lineage: Bacteria; Pseudomonadati; Bacteroidota
Description: Bacteroidetes bacterium partial 16S ribosomal RNA
Rfam family: Bacterial small subunit ribosomal RNA
Source: RNAcentral